UUUUUUUUUUAAGCACUCAGGAUUGAGGAUUGACUUUCUGUCUCUUCUUACAUUUUCCAGGUCUAUGUUUCUUCAUAUACCCUAGUGUAUGUUUAUAGAGUUAUUACGGGCCUUUUGUGCCCAUAUAUCUAUACAACUUUCAGCAACGGAUCUCUUGGCUCUCGCAUCGAUGAAGAACGCAGCGAAAUGCGAUAAGUAAUGUGAAUUGCAGAAUUCAGUGAAUCAUCGAAUCUUUGAACGCACCUUGCGCUCCUUGGUAUUCCGAGGAGCAUGCCUGUUUGAGUGUCAUUAAUAUAUAUCAACCUCUGGUUGGAUAUGGGUUUGCUGGCCUUUUUCUUUGAGGUCAACUCUCCUUAAAUGCAUUAGCGGACAAUUUUGCCAAACGUUUCAUUAGUGUGAUAAUUAUCUACGCUAUUGAUGUGAAGCAGGUUCGACUUCUAAUGGUCCAUUGACUUGGACAAAUCUUUAUUUAUUAAUGUGACCUCAUCUCAUC
Molecule: ribosomal RNA, 493 nt
Filed under: uncultured Cortinarius
Lineage: Eukaryota; Fungi; Basidiomycota; Agaricomycetes; Agaricales; Cortinariaceae
Description: eukaryotic LSU rRNA
Rfam family: 5.8S ribosomal RNA (bases 135-288)
Source: RNAcentral